Long non-coding RNA from Homo sapiens (human), 3899 nucleotides. Ensembl annotates it as PCBP1 antisense RNA 1. Its record names the gene PCBP1-AS1. Lineage: Eukaryota; Metazoa; Chordata; Mammalia; Primates; Hominidae. The record is from Ensembl.
GAACACAAAAUGGCGACACGUGGUUAGCAUUCGUCGCCAACGAGAAAUUGGGGUCGGCCCGAAAGCUCUAGAAUGCACCCCUCUUCCUCCCCGGGGCCUUCCACCUCCGCGAGUUUUAUGACUUAAAAAAGCCCACAGGCUGGUCUGAAGAGGAAGACAAACAUAAAGAUGAAGUGCUUAAUUCAAGGUCACACAAUGUCGGGGAUGGACCUCCAGAUUUCCUUACUGGUGAGACGUGGUCUUGUAACACAGUGGUUAAGAAUGUGACUUUGGAGCCAGCCUGCUAGGGGCUGAAUUCUGACUCAGCCAUUUACUAACUGUGUGACCUUAGGUGGAGUCUCACUCUGUAGCCCAAGCUGGAGUGGCGUGAUCUCGACUCACUGCAACCUCCGCCUCCUGGGAUCAAGUGAUUCUCGUGCCUCAGCCUCCUGAGUAGCCGGGACUACAGUUGUCCCUUGGUGUGGGAUUGCUUCCAGUACCUCUGUGUGUAACAAAAGCUGCACCAUUCAAGUCCCACAGUUGCCCUGCGAAACCUCUGUAUAUGAAAAGUUGGCCCUCCAUGUACAUGGGUUUCCCAUCCUGUCACAGAAUUUUCCACACUCCUUGACAGAGGUGCUUAACCCUUAUCCAUCAGCAUUCUCAGACAGCACCUCCGGUUAGGGACAGUAUCUGACCGUCCGACAUCCCUGCAGCCCCCAUGUGUCACACAGACUCAGCCUCAGGUAGAUGGUUUCCGUAGAUGGUGGCUUUCUUUGGACCCUUGACAUCAACCAGUUACUAUUUGCUCCUGCAACCACCGCUGUACUUUCUGUCUCUAUGAACUUGACUACUCUAGACACCUCAUGUAAGUAGAAUCAUAGAGUAUUUGUCCUUUUAUGUCUGGUUCUUUCACUUAGCAUAAUGUUUUCAAGAUUCAUCCAUGUUGUAGCAUGUGUCAGAACUUCAUUGCUUUUUACGGCUGAAUAAUAUUCCAUUGUGUAACUGUACCACAUGUUCAUCUGUUCAGCCAUGCGUGGGCGCUUGGGUUGUUUCUUCCUUUCAGCUAUUGCAAACCAAUAAUGCUGCUGUGAACAUGGGUGCGCAAAUAUCUGUUUGAAUCCCUGCUUUCAGUUCUUUUGGGUCUAUACCUAAAGAAGUGGAAUUGCUGCAUCAUAUGGUAAUUCUAUGUUUAACUUCUUGGGGAACCACCAUAUCAUUUUCCACAGUGGCUGUAUACUACUUUACAUACCCACUGGCAAUGCACACAGAUUCCAGUUUCUCCACAUUCUCCCCAUUGUGGCAGGGGUUUUAAACCUCUUCAUCACGGGUGCACCCCCGGAGACUAGGGCAGUGCCUGGCACAUUGUAGGUGCUUGAUAAGUAUUUGUUGGAUGAAUGAAUGGGAGGCCUUGGCCUCAGAGCAGCUGUACCUGGGCACUCUCCUACCUGAAGGUGGCACCCAGUCAGUAAGUGUCCUACCCACACAGGGUCCAAAGACCUUCCCAUUCCAGUCCCUGUUCAGCUCUGAGACAACCAUCCUUUAUUUGUUAUUUAUUUAUUUAUUGAAACAGGGUUUCACUGUGGUGCAGGCUGGAGUGCAGUGGCAAGAUCAUAGCUCACUACAGCCUCGAACUCAUGGGCUCAAGUGAUCUUCCCACCUCAGCCUCCCAAGUAGCUGGGACUACAGGCAUGUGCUGCCCGGCUAAAUUUUUUUUUUUUUUUUUUUUUUGUAGAGAUGAGGUCUCACUUUGUUGCCUGCACUGGUCUAGAGCUCCUGGCCUCAAGUGAUCCUCCUGCCUUGGCCUCCCAAAGCCCUGGGAUUACAGAUGUGAGCCACCACCCCGAACUGAUUUUUUUUUAACGUGAAUGUAAAAGUCCAUCCAGGGCAAAGAUAAGAGUCAAGAGGCCCAGAGGAAUGGGACUGAAGUGUCAGGGGCCAAGGAUAGCCCACCGUGGGUUUCCUGUGAUCCUGGGGCUUGGCUGUUUGGACCAGGGAUGAGGGAUAGGAGAAGGGAGACAGGAGAUGCCCAGAAGGAUGUAGCCUUGGGGAACAUCGCGGCUUCUGUGUCUGGUGCUGUAGUGAAAGAACCAGGAGGGGAUGGCGAUUGGCCUAGUGGUUUGCUGUGUUUCAGAACUCCUCCUCCCAAUGCCUUCCCCUCACUCAGGCCAGACUUCUCACGCAUUCCCACCCCUGCAUCUUCGUUCCGGCUGUUCCCUGAUCCCUUUUCCGGGAGCAGCAUUCCUACUCCUCCUUCCUAACCCAAGGUGGCUCAUCUCUCAAAGCCCAGAGGAAGGUGCACAUCCUCUGCAGGGCUUUCUCCACAGUUCUAAGCCCCCUCUCUGCCAGGCCCCAGACCCCACAAGGCAAGGCUGGGGUGGACAGCAUUGCAUAGUAUGUGUUGUGUACUGUGCGACAGGACGCCUCUUCAGCUCCAGCCAGAGCAGGCUGAGAGUCUGCCCACUAAGUGACCUCCCAGUCCUUUCCCACUCUCCUGGCUCACAGUGAGACGUGUGCACAGCUGGAACCACAAAUGUCCCAAUGGGUGUGAUCAAAGCAGACACAGCAAGGUGACACCUGGCCCAGCAGGGCAGCAGUUAGGGCCCCCUAGAAAGGGGUCUCAUGGUUCUCUUGUCCCCCACCAUCUGGAUUAAAGGGUCCCCAGGUCCUGAAGAGGAGCUGGUACUGCUAUCAGAACCCAGGGCAGCGCCUGUGGUCUGCUGCAUGAACGAGGGUCUGGGAAGUUGUCAUCCCACUUCCAGUGUGGGCUCCCUCCUGCUCAGCACUGCUGGGCUGGGGACACAGACCUGAGUUAUAGAGCCUUUGUAGGUGUUCCCACAUGGAUGUGCUGGUUUGGGAGGCCUUGACCUACCCCAGAGGGCAGCCCCUCAUGAGCAGAUUCCAUUCUGGGCAUACUUGUGUCUCUCUGAGCGAGGGGAGUGCUCACUGCUGCCUUCUCAGCUGCUAAGCAGAGGGGUUGCUGGGGAGGACCAUUCCCCCUGUUAGCUAAACUACCCACUGCCAUGUGUCCUGGGCCUCAUGUAGAUAGAGUUGCCCAUGCAGGAAGCAGGCUCAGCUAUGAAUCUACCUGAGGGCAGAGCUUUCUGCACUUGUGUCUUUUGAUUGGGAUUCAUAUUAGACGCCUUGCUUACUUGUUCAUGGGCAGGCAUAUAUGGAUGGGCACAUCUGUGUCCCACUCAACAGUCUGACAGGCCCCCUGCUCUGAGUCUCCAUAAGUCAAGGAUGACUGCUUCCUUCUCUGAGGUAUUCCCCCUGUCCCGACAGUGAGUUUUUAUUACUGCUUGCCACAUAGUCUGCGUUUUAAGUCUGGCCAUUCCAAACUUCCCCUCCAAAUUCGAUGAGCCGUCUUGCCAACUGUGAUUGCACAAUGCCGAGACGGGUGAGCAGAAACGGUUGUGCUUACGUAGGUGUGUGGUUCUUUGUGAUUUCUGUGGCUAACACUGCCAUCUGCUUCAUGUCCAGGGCUGGGUUCCAUGUCUGUCUGAGCUCUUCACCACCUCGUCUACAGCAGUCUGUGACCCAAGGUAGUAAUUGCUUAAUAAGGCUCAUGGUCUCAGGCGCCAGAAAGUUGUAUUCAUCUUUCUAUCCUGGACCUGCACAGGAAGUCAGUGCCCCAUAUGCAUUUGUUGAAUGGAAGGAAUUUUAAACUUCUUGAAGUUUCCCUUUCUUACUAGUUCUAUAUCUCAGCCCAGCCCAGAGCUGAGCCCAUAACAGGGCUGAUGGGUUGGCCAAUGGAUGGAACUGCUGAAAAGUUUCCUAAGUCUAAGUGGAUUUUGAUCCCCAAGGACACAAAGAAACCCAAAGGCUUGACACAACCAAGUAUCUGGAGUGACUGUUGGUGAAAGGCCAGGGCCCAUCACAUGUGAGCCAUGAUCAUGGGGCCAUGGGAAGGGGAUUUAGUG